RNAcentral lists this ribosomal RNA (229 nucleotides) under uncultured bacterium. Its description in RNAcentral is "partial 16S ribosomal RNA". It matches the Rfam family "Bacterial small subunit ribosomal RNA", at positions 568 to 796 of the family's 1533-position model. The record is from RNAcentral.
AAUGUAGGCGGUUUUGCAAGUCAGGGGUGAAAUCCCUCAGCUUAACUGAGGAAGUGCCUUUGAAACUGCAUAACUAGAGGACAGGAGAGGAAAGUGGAAUUCCCGGUGUAGCGGUGGAAUGCGUAGAUAUCGGGAGGAACACCAGAGGCGAAGGCGGCUUUCUGGACUGAUCCUGACGCUGAGAUUCGAAAGCUAGGGGAGCAAACAGGAUUAGAUACCCUGGUAGUCC